RNAcentral lists this ribosomal RNA (497 nucleotides) under uncultured bacterium. Its description in RNAcentral is "partial 16S ribosomal RNA". It matches the Rfam family "Bacterial small subunit ribosomal RNA", at positions 28 to 507 of the family's 1533-position model. The record is from RNAcentral.
GAUGAACGCUGGCGGCGUGCCUAAUACAUGCAAGUCGAGCGAACAGACGAGGAGCUUGCUCCUCUGACGUUAGCGGCGGACGGGUGAGUAACACGUGGAUAACCUACCUAUAAGACUGGGAUAACUUCGGGAAACCGGAGCUAAUACCGGAUAAUAUAUUGAACCGCAUGGUUCAAUAGUGAAAGACGGCUUUGCUGUCACUUAUCGCUGCAUCCGGGCCGCAUUAGCUAGUUGGUAAGGUAACGGCUUACCAAGGCGACGAUGCGUAGCCGACCUGAGAGAGUGAUCGGCCACACGGGAGCUGGGACGCGGUCCAGACGCCUACGGGAGGCAGCAGUAGGGAAUCUGCCGCAGAGGGCGAGAGCCUGACGGAGCAACGCGGCGUGAGUGAUGAAGGUCUUCGGAUCGUAAAGCUCUGUUAUGAGGGAAGAACAAAUGUGGAAGUAACUAUGCACGUCGUGACGGUACCGAAUCAGAAAGCCACGGCUAACUACGUG